Molecule: long non-coding RNA, 269 nt
Filed under: Panax ginseng (ginseng)
Lineage: Eukaryota; Viridiplantae; Streptophyta; Magnoliopsida; Apiales; Araliaceae
Description: long non-coding RNA (PGIN_LNC002296)
Source: RNAcentral
AUAAUUUUAAAAGGAGUCUCUUUUAAUUUAUCUCAAAUGAUGCUUCACCAAAUGACUACUUGUUUGCGAAAAAUCAAAACAUGUUUGCCUUACAGUGCUACUUUCACUACUUUGUUCAAUCAUUUUAAAAUCUCUUUUGAAAAUGAAGUCUCUAUUUCUGUUACUGAUUCCAUCAGCGUUGGUUCCUUAAAAAUGUCGCGUAUUAUUUUAAUUGAUGGUAAGUUUGUUCGAAGCACUUCUGACAAUCUUAUUCCUCCUCCUGUGUCUAC